CAGUUCGGAUUGUAGUCUGCAACUCGACUACAUGAAGCUGGAAUCGCUAGUAAUCGCGAAUCAGAAUGUCGCGGUGAAUACGUUCCCGGGUCUUGUACACACCGCCCGUCACACCAUGGGAGUCGGAAAUGCCCGAAGCCGGUGACCCAACCAAAAGGAGGGAGCCGUCGAAGGCAGGUCUGAUAACUGGGGUGAAGUCGUAACAAGGUAGC
This 212-nucleotide ribosomal RNA is filed under the name uncultured bacterium. Its description in RNAcentral is "partial 16S ribosomal RNA". It matches the Rfam family "Bacterial small subunit ribosomal RNA", at positions 1289 to 1500 of the family's 1533-position model. The record is from RNAcentral.